UACGUAGGGGGCAAGCGUUGUCAGGAUUUAUUGGGAGGAAAGCGCGUGUAGGCGGCCAGAAAAGUCCGCUGUGAAAACUCGAGGCUCAACUUCGAGCUGUCGGUGGAAACUUUCUGGCUAGAGUCCGGAAGAGGAGAAUGGAAUUCCUGGUGUAGCGGUGAAAUGCGCAGAUAUCAGGAAGAACACCCGUGGCGAAGGCGGUUCUCUGGGACGGUACUGACGCUGAGACGCGAAAGCGUGGGGAGCGAACAGG
This 253-nucleotide ribosomal RNA is filed under the name uncultured bacterium. Its description in RNAcentral is "partial 16S ribosomal RNA". It matches the Rfam family "Bacterial small subunit ribosomal RNA", at positions 524 to 776 of the family's 1533-position model. The record is from RNAcentral.